UUUGCUAGGCACCAUGGCGG
Molecule: unclassified non-coding RNA, 20 nt
Filed under: Chlamydomonas reinhardtii
Lineage: Eukaryota; Viridiplantae; Chlorophyta; Chlorophyceae; Chlamydomonadales; Chlamydomonadaceae
Description: small RNA Cre_4147
Source: RNAcentral